GAUGAACGCUGGCGGCGUGCCUAAUACAUGCAAGUCGAGCGAACAGAUAAGGAGCUUGCUCCUUUGACGUUAGCGGCGGACGGGUGAGUAACACGUGGGUAACCUACCUAUAAGACUGGAAUAACUCCGGGAAACCGGGGCUAAUGCCGGAUAACAUUUAGAACCGCAUGGUUCUACAGUGAAAGAUGGUUUUGCUAUCACUUAUAGAUGGACCCCCGCCGUAUUAGCUAGUUGGUAAGGUAACGGUUUACCAAGGCAACGAUACGUAGCCGACCUGAGAAGGUGAGUAGCCAGACUGGAACAGAGACACGGUUCAGAGUCCUACAGGAAGGAGCAGUAGGGAAUCUUCCGCAAUGGGCGAAGGCCUGACGGAGCAACGCCGCGUGAGUGAUGAAGGUCUUGGUAUCGUAAAACUCUGGUAUUAGGGAAGAACAAAUGUGUAAGUAACUGUGCACGUCUUAACGAUACCUAAUCAGAAAGCCACGGCUAACUACGUG
RNAcentral lists this ribosomal RNA (497 nucleotides) under uncultured bacterium. RNAcentral describes it as "partial 16S ribosomal RNA". It matches the Rfam family "Bacterial small subunit ribosomal RNA", at positions 28 to 507 of the family's 1533-position model. The record is from RNAcentral.